Molecule: non-coding RNA, 2776 nt
Organism: Microcebus murinus (gray mouse lemur)
Lineage: Eukaryota; Metazoa; Chordata; Mammalia; Primates; Cheirogaleidae
Source: RefSeq, a predicted model, not a curated record
GGGGCGCCCGGGCGGGGACGCGCGCAGGUUCGCGCGGCUCCGGCCCCUCUGCCCGCGCCCCGGACCCGCCCCCGCGGCGCAUCGGCUUCUGUUUACUUUCGAUCGAGUUUUUCCUGCUCGGGGCAGGUGCCCAGGGCGGCUCCAGGCGGCGGUUACGCGCGGCCCCCCGCGCCGCUCUUUCGCGCUGCCUGCGCGGGGCAAGGCGCUUCGCGGGCGCUCCAGGCGCGCUGACGGGCGUCCCGUUUGUGCCCAGGUGAUGACGGCGGCGGCAUGGAGUUCCCCGAGCACGGCGGGCGGCUGCUGGGCCGCCUGAGGCAGCAGCGCGAGCUGGGCUUCCUGUGCGACUGCACCGUGCUGGUGGGCGACGCGCGCUUCCCGGCCCACCGCGCCGUGCUGGCCGCGUGCAGCGUCUACUUCCAUCUCUUCUACAGGGACCGGCCCGCGGGCAGCCGCGACACAGUGCGGCUCAACGGCGACAUCGUCACGGCGCCCGCCUUCGGCCGUCUGCUAGACUUCAUGUACGAGGGCCGCCUGGACCUGCGCAGCCUGCCUGUCGAGGACGUGCUAGCCGCCGCCAGCUACCUGCACAUGUAUGACAUCGUCAAGGUCUGCAAGGGCAGGCUCAGGGACAAGGACCGAAAGCUGGACCUGGAGACCCCUGCCCCUCGCACGGAGCGACCUUGUCAGCCACCAUGUCCCUGGCCUGCCUGGACUCCUGACCUCUGCCCAGCCGCCCAGAAGACCAAGCUCCCUGGGGUUGGGGUCAAGGCUGCCCUCCCUCUGCAAGCAUCCGGGCCUCCUCCCUGGCAGGUCCCAGGAGAGUCAGACCAGGCCCUGGACCUGUCCCUGAAGCCCAGCCAAAGGCAGGAGGUGGUCCACCCACCCUGUGUCCUCCAGACACCCCUCUGCAGCCGGCUGCAGCAAGGACCCCGGCCACUGGUGAAGGACGAGCAGGACUCACGGUCCGAACAGGACAGCGGCAGCCCCAGGACCCCCCACAGCCCCCUGAAGCCACCUUGUGUUCCUGCAGCCAAGGGCCUGGCAGAGGGCUUGGAGCCACUGCCCGUCAGUAGCAGCCGGGAGCUGGAGCUGGAUGCAGAGCGGGUGGCGAGUGAGGGUGAGCUGGAGCCUGGGGGGCACCUCUGCAUCUGCCCCCUGUGUAGCAAGCUGUUCCCCAGCCCCCACGUGCUGCAGCCGCACCUCAGCGCCCACUUCCGUGAGCGGGACGGCCCUCGGACCCGGCUCUCGCCCAACGGCACCGUGCCCACGUGCCCGCUGUGCAGGAAGACCUUCUCGUGCACAUACACGCUGAAGAGGCACGAGCGGACACACUCGGGCGAGAAGCCCUACACCUGCGUGCAGUGCGGCAAGAGCUUCCAGUACUCGCACAACCUGAGCCGGCACGCGGUGGUGCACACUCGGGAGAAGCCCCACGCCUGCCGCUGGUGCGAGCGCCGGUUCACGCAGUCUGGAGACCUGUACCGUCACGUCCGCAAGUUCCACUGUGGCCUCGUGAAGUCCCUGCUGGUGUGAUGUGUCCCUGUGGGUCCUGGGGGUGGCGCGGAAGGGAAGGGGCAGGGCAGGUGGUACACUGGAAUGGACCAGGUGGGGGCCUCUGAGGCUGGACCCUCGCUGCACAAGGCACACUGCCGCUUCCGGAACGUGGGUCAGGAUGACUUUGGCAGCCUUCCUCCUGCUUUGCCUCCCCUCCCCCCACUCCAGCUCACUCCUGCCCCCAGGCUGUGCCCUGCCCAGACUGCCACCGUCUUCCUCUCACCCUCCCCUCCAGCCAAGUUCCCAGGGUGUCCAGCGGGCACCUGGCUUCUGCCCAGGUCCCUGGGUGUGGGGCGGCACAUUUGUCUUGUGUCCAGGACGUUCCUUACCACCUCUCUGUCAUAUUGAGCCUGGCCCCAUGCUAGGUGAAUGAUUCUUGCGUCAGAAAAGUUCUUAGUGUGAGUCCCAAUGGGGCGCUCAAAGGGAACAGGCCACUCCUGGUGGGUGGCAGCAGGAACCCCUGCUGGGAAGGCCUAGGGCAGGAAGAGUGCCAGGAGGGGCCAUCUGGGCACAGCUGGUGUCACAGGGGGGUGCAGCCCCAGUGGGGAUCCCAGACAGCAGGAGUGGAGCCAACUAGAGGCUGAGUGGCCCUGGAGCUACCCUCACUGGGGUGGGACCUGGGUCCUGACUGCACUGUACCUUUGGGCAGAGAAAGUGGGAAUUUGGAAAUGGCUUCCCUUUAGACCCAGAAAGAGGAUCCCCGAGGUUGCCAGGUGUCUGCUGGUGGGGCUGUGCUGCCCUCUAGCCUUAGCGUGGGUCUGGGGGCCUCUGAGUGUCUCUGGAGGUGGCAGGGGUGAGGCAGGGCAGGGGGGGAGACGACGGCAGCCCCCACCCUGAGCCAGGCUCUGUGUGUUGCAGACUGUUGCUGGGCCAGGUGGGCCUAGGGGUCUCUCCGGAGCUGUGGUCAUUUUCAGAGCCCCGGGCAGGGGCCACAGUCUGCCAGCAGCAAUGUUUGCAUGGCUUCCCGUGGCCAUGGGAGGGGAUGCGAGUGACAGUGGCUGUGCAGUGGGGAGGGGGGCUGGCACUCCCGGAACGUGAACGGCCAGGCUUUGCGUUUGCAGUUGGUUCCGGCCCCCUGCUUCCCCACCCACUCACCAAGCAAAUCCUGCCAGGGGACCUCACUGGCACUGGCGUUGGCUCGGGCAGAAGGACACGUGGCCUGCAGCAGGUGGACACUUCCAGGGUUCAUUCCCGGGUGCCGGACUCCCCAGGUGUGCAGGCG